UACAGAGGUCCCGAGCGUUGUUCGGAUUCAUUUGGGCGUUAAAAGGGGUGCGUAAGGCGGCGGGGCAAGUCUUGAUGUGAAAUUCCUGGGGCUCAACCCUGGAACUGCAUUGGAUACUUGCCUUGCUAGAGUACUGGAGAGGAAACUGGAAUUUAACGGUGUAGCAGUGAAAUGCGUAGAGAUCGUAAGGAAGACCAGUGGCGAAGGCGAGUUUCUGGACAGUUACUGACGCUGAGGCACGAAGGCCAGGGGAGCAAACGGG
Molecule: ribosomal RNA, 262 nt
Filed under: uncultured bacterium
Lineage: Bacteria
Description: partial 16S ribosomal RNA
Rfam family: Bacterial small subunit ribosomal RNA
Source: RNAcentral